GGCCGCCUGGCGAAAUGGCAUCGCGUCUGACUACGAAAGGAUCCAAAAUUCCAGGUAUCAGGAGAUUGCAGGUUCGACCCCUGCGGUGGUCA
This is a transfer RNA of Hydnomerulius pinastri MD-312, 92 nucleotides long. It matches the Rfam family "tRNA". From Rfam's summary of the family: Transfer RNA (tRNA) molecules are approximately 80 nucleotides in length. Lineage: Eukaryota; Fungi; Basidiomycota; Agaricomycetes; Boletales. The record is from Rfam.